Molecule: ribosomal RNA, 326 nt
Filed under: uncultured Bacteroidota bacterium
Lineage: Bacteria; Pseudomonadati; Bacteroidota
Description: bacterial SSU rRNA
Rfam family: Bacterial small subunit ribosomal RNA
Source: RNAcentral
GAUGAACGCUAGCGGCAGGCCUAAUACAUGCAAGACGAACGGUAAGAUUUUUAGCAAUAAGAAUCCAAGAGUGUCGUAAGGGUGCGUAACACGUAUGCAAUCUGCCCUCAACAGGAGGAUAGCUCCCCGAAAGGGGAAUUAACACUCCAUAAGAUCACAUAAUGGCAUCAUUGAGUGAUUAAAACUACGGUGGUUGAGGAUGAGCAUGCGCAUGAUUAGUUAGUUGGCGGGGUAAUGGCCCACCAAGACGAUGAUCAUUAGGGGAACUGAGAGGUUGAUCCCCCACACUGGCACUGAGAUACGGGCCAGACUCCUACGGGUGGCAG